AUUGAACGCUGGCGGCAGGCCUAACACAUGCAAGUCGAGCGGAUGAAGGGAGCUUGCUCCUGGAUUCAGCGGCGGACGGGUGAGUAAUGCCUAGGAAUCUGCCUGGUAGUGGGGGAUAACGUCCGGAAACGGGCGCUAAUACCGCAUACGUCCUGAGGGAGAAAGUGGGGGAUCUUCGGACCUCACGCUAUCAGAUGAGCCUAGGUCGGAUUAGCUAGCUGGUGGGGUAAAGGCCUACCAAGGCGACGAUCCGUAACUGGCCUGAGAGGAUGAUCAGUCACACUGGAACUGAGACACGGUCCAGACUCCUACGGGAGGCAGCAGUGGGGAAUAUUGGACAAUGGGCGAAAGCCUGAUCCAGCCAUGCCGCGUGUGUGAAGAAGGUCUUCGGAUUGUAAAGCACUUUAAGUUGGGAGGAAGGGCAGUAAGUUAAUACCUUGCUGUUUUGACGUUACCAACAGAAUAAGCACCGGCUAACUUCGUG
This 484-nucleotide ribosomal RNA is filed under the name uncultured bacterium. RNAcentral describes it as "partial 16S ribosomal RNA". It matches the Rfam family "Bacterial small subunit ribosomal RNA", at positions 30 to 507 of the family's 1533-position model. The record is from RNAcentral.